GCGUGAGUGAAGAAGGCCUUAGGGUUGUAAAGCUCUUUCACCCGCGAAGAUGAUGACGGUAGCGGGAGAAGAAGCCCCGGCUAACUCCGUGCCAGCAGCCGCGGUAAUACGGAGGGGGCAAGCGUUGUUCGGAUUUACUGGGCGUAAAGGGCGCGUAGGCGGCUGCGCAUGUCAGGGGUGAAAGGCCUGGGCUCAACCUAGGAACUGCCCUUGAAACUGCGCGGCUAGAGUCCGAGAGAGGAUGGCGGAAUUCCCAGUGUAGAGGUGAAAUUCGU
RNAcentral lists this ribosomal RNA (275 nucleotides) under uncultured bacterium. RNAcentral's name for it is "partial 16S ribosomal RNA". It matches the Rfam family "Bacterial small subunit ribosomal RNA", at positions 399 to 691 of the family's 1533-position model. The record is from RNAcentral.